GCUGGAGCAUGCUCACAACCUGCAGGAUCUCCCAUUAUUAAACUGCCUAGUUUGGGGCUUUAAUAUACAGGUUUAAUUAUUGCCAUUGCUAUUAUUCGGCACCGUCGAUGUAUUAAUCUUAUUUUUAUUUUAAAAGGAAGCUGAUCUCAUAAUGAGCUUUUCCCUUCCUUGCUUGAAACAGGUGCUAAUGAAAGAAUGCAAAUAGCAUUGGUUGAUCAGAACACUUCAUAAAGAAGGGAACAAUCACCAAGCCAAACCAGUACAGAAUCUGCCUGCCAUCAGACAGCAAAGUGAUUACCACAAUUUAUCAUCCCUGGAGGAAAAAUACUGAUAUACGUUCUGCAGAUGUUGG
This 352-nucleotide long non-coding RNA is filed under the name Gopherus agassizii (Agassiz's desert tortoise). RNAcentral's name for it is "lncRNA (ENSGAGG00000001424.1)". Lineage: Eukaryota; Metazoa; Chordata; Testudines; Testudinidae. The record is from RNAcentral.